Molecule: ribosomal RNA, 497 nt
Filed under: uncultured bacterium
Lineage: Bacteria
Description: partial 16S ribosomal RNA
Rfam family: Bacterial small subunit ribosomal RNA
Source: RNAcentral
GAUGAACGCUGGCGGCGUGCCUAAUACAUGCAAGUCGAGCGAACAGACGAGGAGCUUGCUCCUCUGACGUUAGCGGCGGACGGGUGAGUAACACGUGGAUAACCUACCUAUAAGACUGGGAUAACUUCGGGAAACCGGAGCUAAUACCGGAUAAUAUAUUGAACCGCAUGGUUCAAUAGUGAAAGACGGCUUUGCUGUCACUUAUAGAUGGAUCCGCGCCGCAUUAGCUAGUUGGUAAGGUAACGGCUUACCAAGGCAACGAUGCGUAGCCGACCUGAGAGGGUGAUCGGCCACACUGGAACUGAGACACGGUCCAGACUCCUACGGGAGGCAGCAGUAGGGAAUCUUCCGCAAUGGGCGAAAGCCUGACGGAGCAACGCCGCGUGAGUGAUGAAGGUCUUCGGAUCGUAAAGCUCUGUUAUUAGGGAAGAACAGAUGUGUAAGUAACUAUGCACGUCUUGACGGUACCUAAUCAGAAAGCCCCGGCUAACUACGUG